This 76-nucleotide transfer RNA is filed under the name Amycolatopsis sp. CA-230715. RNAcentral describes it as "tRNA-Gly". The record is from RNAcentral. Lineage: Bacteria; Bacillati; Actinomycetota; Actinomycetes; Pseudonocardiales; Pseudonocardiaceae.
UGCUGGCGGCGGACAAGGUGAACCGCGCGGCGCUCCCGGCGCCGUCGUCACGACCGCUCGGCUCGGUCGCCGGCGC